UAGUCCACACCGUAAACGAUGAGAGCUAGUUGUUGGUAUGUAUACAUAUCAGUGACACAGCUAACGCAUUAAGCUCUCCGCCUGGGGAGUACGGCCGCAAGGUUAAAACUCAAAGAAAUUGACGGGGGCCCGCACAAGCGGUGGAGUAUGUGGUUUAAUUCGAUGCAACGCGAAGAACCUUACCAGCCCUUGACAUCCUCGGAACUUUCUAGAAAUAGAUUGGUGCCUUCGGGAACCGAGUGACAGGUGCUGCAUGGCUGUCGUCAGCUCGUGUCGUGAGAUGUUCGGUUAAGUCCGGCAACGAGCGCAACCCACAUCCUUAGUUGCCAGCAGGUUAAGCUGGGCACUCUAGGGAAACUGCCCGUGAUAAGCGGGAGGAAGGUGUGGAUGACGUCAAGUCCUCAUGGCCCUUACGGGGUUGGGGCUACACACGUGCUACAAUGGCAGUGACAAUGGGGUUAAUCCCAAAAAACUGU
This 476-nucleotide ribosomal RNA is filed under the name uncultured bacterium. RNAcentral's name for it is "bacterial SSU rRNA". It matches the Rfam family "Bacterial small subunit ribosomal RNA", at positions 791 to 1286 of the family's 1533-position model. The record is from RNAcentral.